RNAcentral lists this ribosomal RNA (261 nucleotides) under uncultured bacterium. RNAcentral describes it as "partial 16S ribosomal RNA". It matches the Rfam family "Bacterial small subunit ribosomal RNA", at positions 524 to 776 of the family's 1533-position model. The record is from RNAcentral.
UACGUAGGGACCAAGCGUUGUUCGGAUUUACUGGGCGUAAAGGGCGCGUAGGCGGCAAUUUCAAGGUCAGCUGUGAAAUCUCCGGGCUUAACUCGGAAAGGUCAACUGAUACUGUGGCGGCUAGAGUGCGGAAGGGGCAACUGGAAUUCUUGGUAGUAGCGGUGAAAUGCGUUAGAUAUCAAGAAGGAACACCUGAGGUGAAGACGGGUUGCUGGGCUGACACUGACGCUGAGGCGCGGAAAGCUAGGGGUAGCAAACGGG